CAAGCCGCAGGAGUGAGCGAGGCUAGAGUGAGCGAGCGUUUCUUUUGGAUGUAGCCCGUUUUUUGGGCUCCCGGCGUUCUCUUGUGUUCCGUCUGCAUUUCGACACGGCACCGCUGCACUACUGGACUACAGCAAGCUGAUGGCAUCCGGUGGAGCUUGGUACGGCAACGACUACUGCUUACCUGGUGCCACAACUUUGGAUGAAUGCAGAAGAAGCCCGGAACGAGUAUUUAUAUAGAGCAAAAUAAACAUUUCAUCAUUUCAGAA
RNAcentral lists this long non-coding RNA (267 nucleotides) under Dermacentor andersoni. Its description in RNAcentral is "uncharacterized LOC126516814". Lineage: Eukaryota; Metazoa; Arthropoda; Arachnida; Ixodida; Ixodidae. The record is from RNAcentral.